CAAUGGACGCAAGUCUGAUGGAGCAACGCCGCGUGAGUGAAGAAGGCUUUCGGGUCGUAAAACUCUGUUGUUGGAGAAGAAUGGUCGGCAGAGUAACUGUUGUCGGCGUGACGGUAUCCAACCAGAAAGCCACGGCUAACUACGUGCCAGCAGCCGCGGUAAUACGUAGGUGGCAAGCGUUAUCCGGAUUUAUUGGGCGUAAAGCGAGCGCAGGCGGUUUUUUAAGUCUGAUGUGAAAGCCCUCGGCUUAACCGAGGAAGCGCAUCGGAAACUGGGAAACUUGAGUGCAGAAGAGGACAGUGGAACUCCAUGUGUAGCGGUGAAAUGCGUAGAUAUAUGGAAGAACACCAGUGGCGAAGGCGGCUGUCUGGUCUGUAACUGACGCUGAGGCUCGAAAGCAUGGGUAGCGAACAGGAUUAGAUACCCUGGUAGUCCAUGCCGUAAACGAUGAAUGCUAGGUGUUGGAGGGUUUCCGCCCUUCAGUGCCGCAGCUAACGCAUUAAGCAUUCCGCCUGGGGAGUACGACCGCAAGGUUGAAACUCAAAGGAAUUGACGGGGGCCCGCACAAGCGGUGGAGCAUGUGGUUUAAUU
Molecule: ribosomal RNA, 591 nt
Filed under: Lacticaseibacillus paracasei
Lineage: Bacteria; Bacillati; Bacillota; Bacilli; Lactobacillales; Lactobacillaceae
Description: bacterial SSU rRNA
Rfam family: Bacterial small subunit ribosomal RNA
Source: RNAcentral